GAUUAACGCUAGCGGCAGGCCUAAUACAUGCAAGUCGAACGGGAUUCAAAGUAGCAAUAUUUUGAUGAGAGUGGCGCACGGGUGAGUAACACGUAUGCAAUUUACCUUUAACUGGGGGAUAGCCCUCCGAAAGGAGGAUUAAUACCGCAUAAUAUAUUGAAAUGGCAUCAUUUUUAAUAUUAAACCUACGGGGGUUAAAGAUGAGCAUGCAUCCGAUUAGCUAGUUGGUGUGGUAACGGCUCACCAAGGCAACGAUCGGUAGGGGGUCUGAGAGGAUGAUCCCCCACACUGGUACUGAGACACGGACCAGACUCCUACGGGAGGCAGCAGUAAGGAAUAUUGGACAAUGGAGGCAACUCUGAUCCAGCCAUGCCGCGUGAAGGAUUAAGGCCCUAUGGGUUGUAAACUUCUUUUAGACGGGACAAAACCCCUCUACGUGUAAAGGGUUGAUGGUACUGUCAGAAUAAGCAUCGGCUAACUUCGUGCCAGCAGCCGCGGU
This 499-nucleotide ribosomal RNA is filed under the name uncultured bacterium. RNAcentral describes it as "bacterial SSU rRNA". It matches the Rfam family "Bacterial small subunit ribosomal RNA", at positions 28 to 521 of the family's 1533-position model. The record is from RNAcentral.